Molecule: long non-coding RNA, 555 nt
Organism: Trematomus bernacchii (emerald rockcod)
Lineage: Eukaryota; Metazoa; Chordata; Actinopteri; Perciformes; Nototheniidae
Exons: 4
Source: RefSeq, a predicted model, not a curated record
UGAGAUGCAGUUUGUCAGAGAUCAGCUGUUCUGCUCUGGCCUCAGCUCUGAAGUCCAACAUCCAUCUGAAACAUCUGAACCUGAGUCUCAACGAUCUGAAGGAUUCAGAGAAGCUGCUGAGAGAUCUUCUGAAGAGUCCAGACUGCAGACUGGAGACUCUCAAGAUCAGAUGAGAGCCGAUCAGAGCCACGAUCCAGAAGACCUGUGACAGGAAGUGAAGACACACAGAAAGUUUAUUCAUCACGGGGCGAGUUUGAGACGUGAAGAGGAGCGUGGAGGCAUUUUGGAAAAUAAAGAAGAAGGCUGCAGCUGAUGAGAGACUUCCUGUUGGCUCUCCUCAAUAUGAAAUGAACAAAAACAAUCAAUUGUACUUAAAGCUUUUCUUAAGAAGAAAGAUGUGUUGCACAUACACCUGCUGCUACCUACCACCACCUCCCACCCAUCCCGGCACCAAAGAGGAGACUCCAUCGACCCCAGAUACCCCAACUCACUCUUCUUCAGGUUAGCUUGGAGCCCCGCCUUUACCUGCCCCAUCACCUCACUUUGAACGAUGUA